AGAGUUUGAUGGCAACUCUGCU
Molecule: non-coding RNA, 22 nt
Filed under: Arabidopsis thaliana (thale cress)
Lineage: Eukaryota; Viridiplantae; Streptophyta; Magnoliopsida; Brassicales; Brassicaceae
Source: RNAcentral